UCGGCGGCCCCUAGUACGGGGGGCCCCCCAGGCGCAACACCUUCCUCCGCGCGAACGUGCGAUACGGGGUCUCCGAGUGUGAGGGCACACAGUCCUCGCUAUUGUGUACCGUAGGGUGGCACACGCCCAAGAGCUGGGCAAGACCGGUGCCAGCCGCCGCGGUAAUACCGGCAGCUCGAGUGAUGGCCGAUUUUAUUGGGCCUAAAGCGUCCGUAGCUGGCCCUGCAAGUCCGUCGGGAAAUCCACUCGCCUAACGAGUGGGCGUCCGGCGGAAACUCCAGGGCUUGGGACCGGAAGACUUGAGGGGUACGUCUGGGGUAGGAGUGAAAUCCUGUAAUCCUGGACGGACCGCCGAUAGCGAAAGCACCUCAAGACGACGGAUCCGACAGUGAGGGACGAAAGCUAGGGUCUCGAACCGGAUUAGAUACCCGGGUAGUCCUAGCUGUAAACGAUGUUCGCUAGAUGUGGCACAGGCUACGUGCCUGUGCUGUGUCGUAGGGAAGCCGAGAAGCGAACCGCCUGGGAAGUACGUCCGCAAGGAUGAAACUUAAAGGAAUUGGCGGGGGAGCAC
Molecule: ribosomal RNA, 571 nt
Filed under: uncultured archaeon
Lineage: Archaea
Also listed under: 1 other name
Description: bacterial SSU rRNA
Rfam family: Archaeal small subunit ribosomal RNA
Source: RNAcentral